This 870-nucleotide ribosomal RNA is filed under the name Triticum aestivum (bread wheat). RNAcentral describes it as "partial small subunit ribosomal RNA". The record is from RNAcentral. Lineage: Eukaryota; Viridiplantae; Streptophyta; Magnoliopsida; Poales; Poaceae.
AUGAGGCUCAGGGACUUCCCGUCCUUCAUACGCACCACGGACCCGGACGAGUACAUGGUGCACUACGUCCUGCGGGAGACGGAGCGCACGGCCGGCGCGUCGGCCGUCAUCCUCAACAGCUUUGACGACCUGAAGGGCGAGGCGGUGGAGGCCAUGGAGGCGCUCGGCCUGCCCAAGGUCUGCACGCUCGGGCCUCUCCCGCUGCUGGCGCACGAGGAGCCGCCCUCGCCGCGCUGCGCCAUCAACCUCAGCCUGUGGAAGGAGCAGGACGAGUGCCUGGAGUGGCUGGACGGCAGGGAGCCCGGCUCCGUCGUCUACGUCAACUUCGGCAGCAUCACCGUCAUGACCAGCGCACAGAUGGUGGAGUUCGCUUGGGGACUGGCACAGAGCGGGAAGCAGUUCAUGUGGAUCGUCCGCCGAGACCUGGUGAAGGGCGACGCCGCGGUGCUCCCCGAGGAGUUCUUGUCCGAGACGGCUGGCCGCGGGCUCAUGGCGUCCUGGUGCCCGCAGCAGGAGGUGCUGAACCACCCUGCCGUCGGAGCGUUCCUGACGCACAGCGGCUGGAACUCGGCGCUGGAGAGCUUGUGCGGCGGCGUGCCGGUGAUCAGCUGGCCGUUCUUCGCCGACCAGCAGACCAACUGCAGGUACCAGUGCAACGAGUGGGGCGUCGGCAUGGAGAUCGACAGCAACGUUCGGCGUGACACCGUCGCCGGACUUAUCACGGAGAUCAUGGAAGGGGAGAAGGGGAAGAGCAUGAGGAAGAGAGCGCAGGAGUGGAAGGAGAGCGCAGUCAAGGCGGUCAUGCCCGGAGGCUCGUCUCACCGAAACUUCGACGAGCUGGUCCGCGAAGUGCUCCUGCCCAAGAACUAG